RNAcentral lists this unclassified non-coding RNA (1492 nucleotides) under Homo sapiens (human). RNAcentral describes it as "MIR124-1 host gene (ENSG00000284859.2)". Lineage: Eukaryota; Metazoa; Chordata; Mammalia; Primates; Hominidae. The record is from RNAcentral.
GAGAAAGCUGCAGUGCACAUCCUGCAGACUGCAGGUGCUGGGCUGCCUCUGGAGUCCCAGAAGGCAAGCUUGGCUGCAGGACAGAAAGGGAGAACAGCUUCUCUCACCCCUGAGCCUUCACAAGCCCUUGUCUAUUUGCCGUUGCCUUCAAAAUAUACCUCCCCCGAAACCAGUAGCUUUCUGAGUCCUGGUGUCCCCUCCGCCCUUUCUGGACAGGUUUGGGAAGAAGAAAGCAGUCAGUGCUGGGCCUUAUUGGGGUGUGAAGCGCCUUGCUCUGCCCCUUCUGCUCACUGUGAAGGCCGCUGGAUGCUUCUCUUAGGCAUGGUUUAAGCCUCCGAUUACUAAACCCCUUGCCCCACAAACGUCCACAUUGACGAGCCUCUUUUUAGUAACUGCUUCCCCGUAAUUCCUUCAGAGGUUGCUGUACCCUUCGCUGAUGUGCUGCCCUCCUGUAAAACCUCCAGAUGCCUUCCCACGUAAUGCCCCUUUCAGAUGCUUUAAGCUGAGAGCUUAAACCACAGGUACCAUGGCUGACGCCUGCCAGGUUUCUGCUGCAGAUAAUCUAUGAUGGGAGGGGCAUAUUUUUUACUUCAUUACUUAUGUAAACUCUUGUUCCAGAAAGCUUUAAUGUGUGUGGGAGUGUUCUGGGUCUAUUAGGUCUGUGCGCAUGGGUGUGGGCAUUUGCCUGUGUCCACCGGGUGGGUCUCAUUAUGAAAUGUAUGUUUAUGUAGGGCUUUAAUGGCUGAAAAUGGCAAAGAGAUGAAUAGACCACUUGGCCCCAUGUGUAAUUGCCAGGCCCCUUCUGUGCUCAAAUGAGGUGUCCGAGUGAAGGUCAGCCCUUCCCUUCUGUAUUUGGGGCCUAUUUAUGCCACCAGUAAUUUUAUAAGAAAUCUGAAUAGUUCUCCCCUUUGAGUGCAUUUAACUCUUUAGUAUCUUCUCUCUUACCUAUUUGAGCCCCUCUAGCUACAGUCUGGCUUAAAUGAAAGGGGAAUUAUAUGCUUAAGAAAAAGUAGGACACGGUUGAGGCAGUUUGCUGACUGAAUACGCGAAGAAGGACCUGAUGGGCUCAUAUGCACCACUGCCAUCACAGUCCCCAUCGUGAUGCAAGCUUAUAUGAUUCUUGAGGUAACUCUACCAGAUACUUCCAGAUUUAGAAAUGUGUCAAAGGAAAAAUUGGUGAUACUCUUCUUUCCCCUGCCAGAAACAGCCCAGAUCUCCUCUUAAGCGGAAAAGAGAUUGACCUUCUAGCAGAGGCAAAGGUAAACUCCUAAUGGAGUCUUCUGGGGGCAGCUGCAAAGCGUUCUCCCUAGGACAGAUGGAGCCUCCCUUUCCUCAUCUACUCUGUGGGUGGUUUCAGGGCCCACGAGUCAACAUGAGGAGUUGUGCUGGUGGUAUGUGUGUUGGAGGCUGGGCUGGCUGAUUCACAGUGACGAGGAUGUCAAUAAUAACAAGAAUGAGAAUGAUGAUACCUAAUAAAGACUUUUUUUCCCAA